Oreochromis aureus is the source of this 306-nucleotide long non-coding RNA. RefSeq lists it as uncharacterized. The transcript has 3 exons. The record is from RefSeq and is a predicted model, not a curated record. Lineage: Eukaryota; Metazoa; Chordata; Actinopteri; Cichliformes; Cichlidae.
GUGAGGAGAUGGAAGACCUCCUGGAUAAACUUGAUGAACAGACAUCCAACAUUGUGUCCAACUUGCACUGAGAGGCCUGCCCAUUUUCCUCAAGAGAAGAUGCAACAGAGGUUUUCCUGAAGUGCUUAGACACUGACAUUUUGGAACCAGUGUUGAACGGUGCAUCAGGUGCCAUCCUCACCAUCCUACAAGAUGACGAUACGUCUGUGCGAGAACAUGCAGUUGGUUUGGAAGGGGACAUCGUGCUACAUAACAUUCCAGAUCUCUCUACUGCCCUGGCAUAGCUCUUUGGCCUUCUGUAUGCCC